UGCGUACCUUUUGUAUAAUGGGUCAGCGACUUAUAUUCUGUAGCAAGGUUAACCGAAUAGGGGAGCCGAAGGGAAACCGAGUCUUAACUGGGCGUUAAGUUGCAGGGUAUAGACCCGAAACCCGGUGAUCUAGCCAUGGGCAGGUUGAAGGUUGGGUAACACUAACUGGAGGACCGAACCGACUAAUGUUGAAAAAUUAGCGGAUGACUUGUGGCUGGGGGUGAAAGGCCAAUCAAACCGGGAGAUAGCUGGUUCUCCCCGAAAGCUAUUUAGGUAGCGCCUCGUGAACUCAUCUCCGGGGGUAGAGCACUGUUUCGGCAAGGGGGUCAUCCCGACUUACCAACCCGAUGCAAACUGCGAAUACCGGAGAAUGUUAUCACGGGAGACACACGGCGGGUGCUAACGUCCGUCGUGAAGAGGGAAACAACCCAGACCGCCAGCUAAGGUCCCAAAGUCAUGGUUAAGUGGGAAACGAUGUGGGAAGGCCCAGACAGCCAGGAUGUUGGCUUAGAAGCAGCCAUCAUUUAAAGAAAGCGUAAUAGCUCACUGGUCGAGUCGGCCUGCGCGGAAGAUGUAACGGGGCUAAACCAUGCACCGAAGCUGCGGCAGCGACGCUGAUGCGUUGUUGGGUAGGGGAGCGUUCUGUAAGCCUGUGAAGGUGUGCUGUGAGGCAUGCUGGAGG
RNAcentral lists this ribosomal RNA (682 nucleotides) under Escherichia coli. Its description in RNAcentral is "bacterial LSU rRNA". It matches the Rfam family "Bacterial large subunit ribosomal RNA", at positions 598 to 1279 of the family's 2925-position model. Lineage: Bacteria; Pseudomonadati; Pseudomonadota; Gammaproteobacteria; Enterobacterales; Enterobacteriaceae. The record is from RNAcentral.